Molecule: ribosomal RNA, 1534 nt
Filed under: Staphylococcus aureus
Lineage: Bacteria; Bacillati; Bacillota; Bacilli; Caryophanales; Staphylococcaceae
Description: partial 23S ribosomal RNA
Rfam family: Bacterial large subunit ribosomal RNA
Source: RNAcentral
CUUUGGACAAUGGUAGGAGAGCGUUCUAAGGGCGUUGAAGCAUGAUCGUAAGGACAUGUGGAGCGCUUAGAAGUGAGAAUGCCGGUGUGAGUAGCGAAAGACGGGUGAGAAUCCCGUCCACCGAUUGACUAAGGUUUCCAGAGGAAGGCUCGUCCGCUCUGGGUUAGUCGGGUCCUAAGCUGAGGCCGACAGGCGUAGGCGAUGGAUAACAGGUUGAUAUUCCUGUACCACCUAUAAUCGUUUUAAUCGAUGGGGGGACGCAGUAGGAUAGGCGAAGCGUGCGAUUGGAUUGCACGUCUAAGCAGUAAGGCUGAGUAUUAGGCAAAUCCGGUACUCGUUAAGGCUGAGCUGUGAUGGGGAGAAGACAUUGUGUCUUCGAGUCGUUGAUUUCACACUGCCGAGAAAAGCCUCUAGAUAGAAAAUAGGUGCCCGUACCGCAAACCGACACAGGUAGUCAAGAUGAGAAUUCUAAGGUGAGCGAGCGAACUCUCGUUAAGGAACUCGGCAAAAUGACCCCGUAACUUCGGGAGAAGGGGUGCUCUUUAGGGUUAACGCCCAGAAGAGCCGCAGUGAAUAGGCCCAAGCGACUGUUUAUCAAAAACACAGGUCUCUGCUAAACCGUAAGGUGAUGUAUAGGGGCUGACGCCUGCCCGGUGCUGGAAGGUUAAGAGGAGUGGUUAGCUUCUGCGAAGCUACGAAUCGAAGCCCCAGUAAACGGCGGCCGUAACUAUAACGGUCCUAAGGUAGCGAAAUUCCUUGUCGGGUAAGUUCCGACCCGCACGAAAGGCGUAACGAUUUGGGCACUGUCUCAACGAGAGACUCGGUGAAAUCAUAGUACCUGUGAAGAUGCAGGUUACCCGCGACAGGACGGAAAGACCCCGUGGAGCUUUACUGUAGCCUGAUAUUGAAAUUCGGCACAGCUUGUACAGGAUAGGUAGGAGCCUUUGAAACGUGAGCGCUAGCUUACGUGGAGGCGCUGGUGGGAUACUACCCUAGCUGUGUUGGCUUUCUAACCCGCACCACUUAUCGUGGUGGGAGACAGUGUCAGGCGGGCAGUUUGACUGGGGCGGUCGCCUCCUAAAAGGUAACGGAGGCGCUCAAAGGUUCCCUCAGAAUGGUUGGAAAUCAUUCAUAGAGUGUAAAGGCAUAAGGGAGCUUGACUGCGAGACCUACAAGUCGAGCAGGGUCGAAAGACGGACUUAGUGAUCCGGUGGUUCCGCAUGGAAGGGCCAUCGCUCAACGGAUAAAAGCUACCCCGGGGAUAACAGGCUUAUCUCCCCCAAGAGUUCACAUCGACGGGGAGGUUUGGCACCUCGAUGUCGGCUCAUCGCAUCCUGGGGCUGUAGUCGGUCCCAAGGGUUGGGCUGUUCGCCCAUUAAAGCGGUACGCGAGCUGGGUUCAGAACGUCGUGAGACAGUUCGGUCCCUAUCCGUCGUGGGCGUAGGAAAUUUGAGAGGAGCUGUCCUUAGUACGAGAGGACCGGGAUGGACAUACCUCUGGUGUACCAGUUGUCGUGCCAACGGCAUAGCUGGGU